Molecule: ribosomal RNA, 129 nt
Filed under: Klebsiella pneumoniae
Lineage: Bacteria; Pseudomonadati; Pseudomonadota; Gammaproteobacteria; Enterobacterales; Enterobacteriaceae
Description: partial 23S ribosomal RNA
Rfam family: Bacterial large subunit ribosomal RNA
Source: RNAcentral
CCUGAGACUAUAAGUCUCCUGAAGGAACGUUAAAGACGAUGACGUUGAUAGGCCGGGUGUGUAAGCGCAGCGAUGCGUUGAGCUAACCGGUACUAAUGAACCGUGAGGCUUAACCUUACAACGCCGAAG